UACGUAGGGUGCGAGCGUUGUCCGGAAUUAUUGGGCGUAAAGGGCUCGUAGGCGGUUUGUCGCGUCGGGAGUGAAAUCCACUGGCUUAACUGGUGGCUUGCUUUCGAUACGGGCAGACUGGAGGUAUGCAGGGGAGAACGGAAUUCCUGGUGUAGCGGUGAAAUGCGCAGAUAUCAGGAGGAACACCUGUGGCGAAGGCGGCCACCUGGGCCGACCCUGACGCUGAGGCGCGAAAGCGUGGGGAGCGAACCGG
This 253-nucleotide ribosomal RNA is filed under the name uncultured bacterium. RNAcentral describes it as "partial 16S ribosomal RNA". It matches the Rfam family "Bacterial small subunit ribosomal RNA", at positions 524 to 776 of the family's 1533-position model. The record is from RNAcentral.